RNAcentral lists this unclassified non-coding RNA (203 nucleotides) under rhizosphere metagenome. Its description in RNAcentral is "partial ribosomal RNA internal transcribed spacer region". The record is from RNAcentral.
GUAGGUGAACCUGCGGAAGGAUCAUUCAUAAUAAGUGUUUUAUGGCACUUUUUAAAUCCAUAUCCACCUUGUGUGCAAUGUCAGUCGAUCUUCUUCAUGGAGAUCGACCAAACAUCAACCUUUAUUUUUUAACUCUUUGUCUGAAAAAUAUUAUGAAUAAACAAUUCAAAAUACAACUUUCAACAACGGAUCUCUUGGCUCUC